UACGUAGGGUGCGAGCGUUAAUCGGAAUUACUGGGCGUAAAGCGUGCGCAGGCGGUUCGUUAAGUCAGCUGUGAAAGCCCCGGGCUCAACCUGGGAACUGCGGUUGAAACUGGCGAACUAGAAUCUGGCAGAGGGGGGUGGAAUUCCACGUGUAGCAGUGAAAUGCGUAGAUAUGCGGAGGAACACCGAUGGCGAAGGCAAUCCCCUGGGCCUGCACUGACGCUCAUGCACGAAAGCGUGGGGAGCAAACAGG
This 253-nucleotide ribosomal RNA is filed under the name uncultured bacterium. RNAcentral's name for it is "partial 16S ribosomal RNA". It matches the Rfam family "Bacterial small subunit ribosomal RNA", at positions 524 to 776 of the family's 1533-position model. The record is from RNAcentral.